RNAcentral lists this transfer RNA (467 nucleotides) under uncultured Flavobacteriaceae bacterium. RNAcentral describes it as "16S-23S ribosomal RNA intergenic spacer". The stretch from base 81 to 154 matches the Rfam family "tRNA". The record is from RNAcentral. Lineage: Bacteria; Pseudomonadati; Bacteroidota; Flavobacteriia; Flavobacteriales; Flavobacteriaceae.
AGAGAAAGACGACUAAAGUUUCCAAACUAUUUAAUCAAAUAUGUUUAUUCUCAUCGCUGUUAAUUAUUAUCAUAUAGUGGAGUCUCAUAGCUCAGCUGGUUAGAGCGCUACACUGAUAAUGUAGAGGUCGGCAGUUCAAGUCUGCCUGAGACUACUACGUUUAGUUUUAGUACUAAAUUAAAAUGAGAAUUUUAGAAAGUUGAGUAUAUGAUUAAUAACUCUUUAAACUGGGGGAUUAGCUCAGCUGGCUAGAGCGCCUGCCUUGCACGCAGGAGGUCAUCGGUUCGACUCCGAUAUUCUCCACAAUCAGUUUUAUACUGAAAAGUUCUUUGACAUAUUGAAAACAAUACAUGAAUAUUUAGAAAAUUUCUAAAUAUAAUUUAAGUAAAAUUAAGUAAUUAAGUUUACGAGCAUGCUCGUAUUUAUUUACGAGCAAAGUUUAAUGGCUCAUUAAAAAUAAAAGUUAC